UGUUCUGCUAUUUUUAUUGGACAUAUUUUUUGGUCGGUGGAGAGAUUUCUCUCGUUUCUUCGGUAUUGUCGACAUUGAUUUUUUUUUGUUCUCUCCCAACUGCGAAACGGCGAUUUUCUUCCCUUCUUCUCGUGCCGAUCUCAUCUCCGCUGUCUCCUUGUCGAAGCCCAGUGAUUCCUCUGUCUCAUCGGCGAUCUCUCCGUCUACUCUGUCUCCGUCGUAUCGCCAAGCUCUCUCUCUCUCCACUGUCUCCGGUGUCUUGCGAAGCUCCUCAGCUCCUCUGGAAGAGAUCUCCUCGUCUCCUCUGUCUCGGCUGGCUCGCAAAUCUCAUCUCCGGUGAACAAAGGCGAAGCUAUCAGAAAAUGGAGAUAUGCAGAGAAUUAGAGACAAAUGGUUGCUGAGGAAAGCUUGCUCUCUGCAAGGCGCAGAGUUAAAAGUACAUAGGCUGGAGCUUAGUAGCUUUUGGGGAUUGUUUGUGAUGUGUGGAGGGACAUGCGUUCUUGCUGUUGCAGUGUAUACAGUAUUGAUGAUACGUCAACGUCCUGAAGAAGCAGAGCCGCAGAGGGGUUGACCGCUAGAAGAAGCAUCCACUCCUUUCUCUCCUUUGUCAUUUAGGGAGACGCCAAGGCUAUGUCAUUUAGGGAGAGGCAGCCUGAAGAUAUCUUUGUCAGUGGUCCGAGUGGCUGCAACUAAAGUGUUUCCAGCUCUAGUACGUAACUAUAUGAUAACCUCUUUGUUGAUAAAACUUGAAUCAAAAUUCAAAACUGUUUGUUAAUAAUAAUCAUCAUGUCAAUUAGUGGAUGAUUAUGAUGUGUUCUAUUAUCUUUACACUCUACUAGUCUUCUUUACCCUUAAUUGUAAAAGUUUGAUACAA
Long non-coding RNA from Camelina sativa (false flax), 874 nucleotides. RefSeq lists it as uncharacterized. The record is from RefSeq and is a predicted model, not a curated record. Lineage: Eukaryota; Viridiplantae; Streptophyta; Magnoliopsida; Brassicales; Brassicaceae.